This 760-nucleotide ribosomal RNA is filed under the name uncultured bacterium. Its description in RNAcentral is "bacterial SSU rRNA". It matches the Rfam family "Bacterial small subunit ribosomal RNA", at positions 28 to 776 of the family's 1533-position model. The record is from RNAcentral.
GAUGAACGCUAGCGAUAGGCUUAACACAUGCAAGUCGAGGGGCAGCACGGUUUUAGCUUGCUAAAAUUGGUGGCGACCGGCGCACGGGUGCGUAACGCGUAUGCAACUUACCUUAUAGAGGGGGAUAGCCCGUUUAACGACGGAUUAAUACCGCAUAUACAAUUAGCUCGGCAUCGAGUAAAUUGGAAAUGAAUUUCGCUAUAAGAUAGGCAUGCGUCCCAUUAGCUAGUUGGUGAGGUAACGGCUCACCAAGGCGACGAUGGGUAGGGGAACUGAGAGGUUGAUCCCCCACACUGGUACUGAGACACGGACCAGACUCCUACGGGAGGCAGCAGUGAGGAAUAUUGGUCAAUGGACGCAAGUCUGAACCAGCCAAAUCGCGUGAAGGAUGACUGUCUUAUGGAUUGUAAACUUCUUUUAUAUGGGAAUAAUCGCAAAUACGUGUAUUUGCUUGAAUGUACCAUAUGAAUAAGCAUCGGCUAACUCCGUGCCAGCAGCCGCGGUAAUACGGAGGAUGCGAGCGUUAUCCGGAUUUAUUGGGUUUAAAGGGUGCGUAGGUGGUCUGAUAAGUCAGCGGUGAAAUUUCUGAGCUCAACUCAGACACUGCCGUUGAAACUGUUGGACUUGAGUGUAGAUGAGGUAGGCGGAAUGCGUGGUGUAGCGGUGAAAUGCAUAGAUAUCACGCAGAACUCCGAUUGCGAAGGCAGCUUACUAAGGUACAACUGACACUGAAGCACGAAAGCGUGGGUAUCACAACAGG